UGGUCGACCAGUUGGAAAGU
RNAcentral lists this microRNA (20 nucleotides) under Callithrix jacchus (white-tufted-ear marmoset). RNAcentral describes it as "cja-miR-412". Its record names the gene cja-miR-412. Lineage: Eukaryota; Metazoa; Chordata; Mammalia; Primates; Cebidae. The record is from miRBase by way of RNAcentral. RNAcentral also lists the same sequence under 1 other name.